CCGUAGGUGAACCUGCGGAAGGAUCAACCCCUGUGAUAGUUUGUGGGCAAGUCUCCCCCCCGUGUGUCCAUUGGAUCUGGAUGCGCGGCGGUUGGGGGGGCCUGGUCU
This 108-nucleotide ribosomal RNA is filed under the name Cantharellus lateritius. Its description in RNAcentral is "partial 18S ribosomal RNA". The record is from RNAcentral. Lineage: Eukaryota; Fungi; Basidiomycota; Agaricomycetes; Cantharellales; Hydnaceae.